ACGGGAGGCAGCAGUAGGGAAUAUUGCACAAUGGGGGAAACCCUGAUGCAGCAACGCCACGUGUGGGAAGAAGCAUUUCGGUGUGUAAACCACUGUCGUGAGGGAAUAAUGCUUGGUCUCGGCCAAGUUGAAUGUACCUCGAAAGGAAGCACCGGCAAACUUCGUGCCAGCAGCCGCGGUAAUACGAGGGGUGCAAGCGUUGUUCGGAAUUAUUGGGCGUAAAGGGCAUGUAGGCGGUUUUGCAAGCUUGAUGUGAAAGGCAGGAGCUUAACUCCUGGACUGCGUUGAGAACUGCAUGACUAGAGUCACUGAGGGGCAAUCAGAAUUCCUGGUGUAGGGGUGAAAUCUGUAGAUAUCAGGAAGAAUACCAAUGGCGAAGGCAGGUUACCAGCAGAUGACUGACGCUGAGGUGCGAAGGUGCGGGGAGCAAACAGGAUUAGAUACCCUGUA
RNAcentral lists this ribosomal RNA (450 nucleotides) under uncultured Treponema sp. RNAcentral's name for it is "partial 16S ribosomal RNA". It matches the Rfam family "Bacterial small subunit ribosomal RNA", at positions 341 to 791 of the family's 1533-position model. Lineage: Bacteria; Pseudomonadati; Spirochaetota; Spirochaetia; Treponematales; Treponemataceae. The record is from RNAcentral.